Molecule: ribosomal RNA, 323 nt
Filed under: uncultured eukaryote
Lineage: Eukaryota
Description: partial 18S ribosomal RNA
Rfam family: Eukaryotic small subunit ribosomal RNA
Source: RNAcentral
CCCUUAGAUGUUCUGGGCGGCCCGCGCACUACAAUGGCGUGUGCAGCGAGUGCCGAAGUAGAGUUUUCCGAGGUAUUCUUGCAAUGCCCGUUUUGAUGGGGAUAGACCCUUGCAACUGUUGGUUUUGAACGAGGAAUUCCUUGUAAGCAUGGUUUAUCAUCCGACGCUGAAUGCGUCCCUGCCCUUUGUACACACCGCCCGUCGCUCCUACCGAUUGAGUGGUCCGGUGAGGCUUUGGGAUCUGAGCGGAAAGAGCGUUUCGCUGUUUCUGCUCGGAAAACUCAGUCGAACCUUAUCAUUUAGAGGAAGGAGAAGUCGUAACA